RNAcentral lists this ribosomal RNA (635 nucleotides) under uncultured bacterium. RNAcentral describes it as "bacterial SSU rRNA". It matches the Rfam family "Bacterial small subunit ribosomal RNA", at positions 1 to 626 of the family's 1533-position model. The record is from RNAcentral.
UGAGUUUGAUCCUGGCUCAGGAUGAACGCUGGCGGCGUGCCUAACACAUGCAAGUCGAACGGGGUAUAUAAGCGGAAGUUUACGGAUGGAAGGUUAUAUACUUAGUGGCGGACGGGUGAGUAACGCGUGGGCAACCUGCCCCGUGCCGGGGGAUACCGCCUGGAAACAGGCGCUAAUACCGCAUAAGCGCAUACAGCCGCAUGGGUGUAUGCGGAAAGCUCCGGCGGCACGGGAUGGGCCCGCGCCCGAUUAGCCAGUUGGCGGGGUAACGGCCCACCAAAGCGACGAUCGGUAGCCGGCCUGAGAGGGCGGACGGCCACAUUGGGACUGAGACACGGUCCAAACUCCUACGGGAGGCAGCAGUGGGGAAUAUUGCACAAUGGGGGAAACCCUGAUGCAGCAACGCCGCGUGGGUGAAGGAGCGUUUCGGCGCGUAAAGCCCUGUCAGCGGGGAAGAAAAACCGGCCUUAGGGCCGCCAGACGGUACCUGACCAAGAAGCCCCGGCUAACUACGUGCCAGCAGCCGCGGUAAUACGUAGGGGGCAAGCGUUAUCCGGAUUUACUGGGUGUAAAGGGAGCGUAGACGGCAGCGCAAGUCUGGAGUGAAAUGCCGGGGCCCAACCCCGGAACUGCUU